This 69-nucleotide transfer RNA is filed under the name Ictidomys tridecemlineatus (thirteen-lined ground squirrel). RNAcentral's name for it is "Spermophilus tridecemlineatus (thirteen-lined ground squirrel) tRNA". It matches the Rfam family "tRNA". Rfam says of the family: Transfer RNA (tRNA) molecules are approximately 80 nucleotides in length. Lineage: Eukaryota; Metazoa; Chordata; Mammalia; Rodentia; Sciuridae. The record is from Rfam by way of RNAcentral.
GGGAUUGUGGCUCAGUGGUAGAGCCCUUGCCUAGCACACAUGAGGCACUGGGUUCCAUUCCCAGCACCA